This 20-nucleotide small nuclear RNA is filed under the name Arabidopsis thaliana (thale cress). RNAcentral's name for it is "snRNA_17405". Lineage: Eukaryota; Viridiplantae; Streptophyta; Magnoliopsida; Brassicales; Brassicaceae. The record is from RNAcentral.
AGUUUCCCUUGUUUGGGCAU